This 305-nucleotide ribosomal RNA is filed under the name uncultured bacterium. RNAcentral describes it as "bacterial SSU rRNA". It matches the Rfam family "Bacterial small subunit ribosomal RNA", at positions 338 to 635 of the family's 1533-position model. The record is from RNAcentral.
CCUACGGGGGGCAGCAGUAGGGAAUUUUCGUCAAUGGGCGCAAGCCUGAACGAGCAAUGCCGCGUGAACGAGGAAGGUCUUCGGAUCGUAAAGUUCUGUUGAAGGGGAAAAAGAGCGGAGAGAGGAAAUGGUCUCCGAUUGAUAUUACCCUUCGAGGAAGUCACGGCUAACUACGUGCCAGCAGCCGCGGUAAUACGUAGGUGGCGAGCGUUAUCCGGAAUGAUUGGGCGUAAAGGGAGCGUAGACGGUUCUGCAAGUCUGAAGUGAAAGCCCGUGGCUUAACCGCGGAACGGCUUUGGAAACUG